CAGUGAUAAACUGGAGGAAGGUGGGGAUGACGUCAAGUCAUCAUGGCCCUUACGACCAGGGCUACACACGUGCUACAAUGGCGCAUACAAAGAGAAGCGACCUCGCGAGAGCAAGCGGACCUCAUAAAGUGCGUCGUAGUCCGGAUUGGAGUCUGCAACUCGACUCCAUGAAGUCGGAAUCGCUAGUAAUCGUGGAUCAGAAUGCCACGGUGAAUACGUUCCCGGGCCUUGUACACACCGCCCGUCACACCAUGGGAGUGGGUUGCAAAAGAAGUAGGUAG
RNAcentral lists this ribosomal RNA (281 nucleotides) under Salmonella enterica. Its description in RNAcentral is "partial 16S ribosomal RNA". It matches the Rfam family "Bacterial small subunit ribosomal RNA", at positions 1153 to 1433 of the family's 1533-position model. Lineage: Bacteria; Pseudomonadati; Pseudomonadota; Gammaproteobacteria; Enterobacterales; Enterobacteriaceae. The record is from RNAcentral.